This 497-nucleotide ribosomal RNA is filed under the name uncultured bacterium. RNAcentral describes it as "partial 16S ribosomal RNA". It matches the Rfam family "Bacterial small subunit ribosomal RNA", at positions 28 to 507 of the family's 1533-position model. The record is from RNAcentral.
GACGAACGCUGGCGGCGUGCCUAAUACAUGCAAGUUGAGCGCUGAAGGUUGGUACUUGUACCAACUGGAUGAGCAGCGAACGGGUGAGUAACGCGUGGGGAAUCUGCCUUUGAUCGGGGGACAACAUUUGGAAACGAAUGCUAAUACCGCAUAAAAACUUUAAACACAAGUUUUAAGUUUGAAAGAUACAAUUGCAUCACUCAAAGAUGAUCCCGCGUUGUAUUAGCUAGUUGGUGAGGUAAAGGCUCACCAAGGCGAUGAUACAUAGCCGACCUGAGAGGGUGACCGGCCACAUUGGGACUGAGAAACGGCCCAAACUCCUACGGGAGGCAGCAGUAGGGAAUCUUCGGCAAUGGACGAAAGUCUGACCGAGCAACGCCGCGUGAGUGAAGAAGGUUGUCGGAUCGUAAAACUCUGUUGGUAGAGAAGAAAGUUGGUGAGAGUGGAAAGCUCAUCAAGUGACGGUAACUACACAGAAAGGGACGGCUAACUACGUG